CAAAACCAUCCCUUUCCCUACACCAAAGGUUGGGAUACUGAAGGCAAGGGACAAGGGACCUCACAUUUUCUGUCCAUGCCAAACACUGUUCUCAUCACCAGACAUAAGACAGCAGGAUGUACUUAGGUCUCACCAUCUGUAGCCAAGAAAACAUUUGCUAACCUGGAGCAGAAGAACAGAACUCAAAGAGGGACAUCUCAGCUUUCAACCACUAAGGCAUGGUAUGCCAGUGGCAGAAGACAGCACAAACAGAAGGAUGAGAAGAGAGGAACUGAACUUUAAUAAAAAACAUUGAACAGG
RNAcentral lists this long non-coding RNA (300 nucleotides) under Rattus norvegicus (Norway rat). RNAcentral describes it as "long non-coding RNA NONRATT032564". Lineage: Eukaryota; Metazoa; Chordata; Mammalia; Rodentia; Muridae. The record is from RNAcentral.